GAUAGCAUCGGGUUAGGGGUUGGGUUGGGUUAGAAUUGGGUGCAUGGGGUCGUGGUCAUUUCUGGAAGUGAGGAAACCAACCGGUAGGGUCUACUCAUUCACUCUGCCCCAAUUUUUUUUUUGUCUUUUUUCUCAUUUUCCCUUUUCCCCAUUUCUCCUUUAUUUUUACUCUUUUUAUAACCCUUCUCUCAUAUCACAUUCUCAUUCACCACCACCACUCAUUCCCUUCUCUCUCUCUUUCACUCCCCCUUGAAGGUAGCCGAGACUUUUGGGGGAUGAUUCAAGAGUUAAAAGAGAACACAAACCAUGUGAAAAAACUUCAUAUAUCUAUCUCUCUCAUGAAAUUCAAGAAAAAAAACUAUUUAGAAAGAAGCUUUAUUUUUGCGGGGAAUGUUGUCUGCUUCGAGGACUUUUUCUUUUUGAUCUAUAAAUUAUCUAUGGUCAAGAAUCGUAAAGUGUUCUCGGACCAGGCUUCAUUCCCCUCAAUUAUAAACUUCCAUUCAUCUGUUCUUAUAUAGAUUGGUGUAAUGAUGAAGCAUUUUGACCAAUUUUAUUUCUCUUUCUCUUCCUCAAAAGGUUUUCAUCAUUACCUCCUUUUUCUUACUCUCUGAUUGUGUUAUGAUGGUGUUUUUCUUGUCAGAUGUAACACUUUUUUCUUUCUUCUUCAUCAUUAGCUAGCUAGAUCUUCUCACAAUUAUGGUUUUUUCCUUCGGAUCUGUCUGUUUCUAGCAUGAAUUUCUCAGAUCUAGCAACCCUUUCAAUGAAUCUUCAACAUUCCACCCCUUCUCCUUUUCACUUUCUCUCUCUACAAUUUCUCUCUCUAGGGUUUCAUGGUAUGCAUUUUGAGUAGUUUCACUCAGAUCUAUAAUUUCACCCAGAUCUAUAAUUAAUAAAGUUUUUCUAAGCUUGGUAUAUAGCUUUUUAUAACCAAAUGGAUUUCAUAUAGUUUAAACCCUAGUUUCAUAUAAAUUUAAAGUACAAAUGCAUCAUUUUCUUCGGUUUAACUUUGAAUUAUAAUGAUAAUGCUUAGUGGUAUCCAUUUAUGAAUCAAUGAUUGAUUAAAAAUGGAAUUAUUCUAGGGUCUUUUUGCUUAACAUUUUUGAGUUGCCUUGUUUUCUUGAUAAGCACGCAGGGAUUUUGAAGAUGAAAAAUGUGAUUCAGAAUGGUGAGAAGGUAGCUAGGGACAUAGGGUAACACGAAUGACAUAAUACAGUCCUUGCUCAGUGCUUAUCUAUCAGCACUUACUGCUUUUUCUUUAUUAUCACCAUGGUUGAUAGUUACAUGUUCAUGCUUACUUGCACGCAAAUGUAUAGUUUUCUUAUAUCAAUGCACUGAAUGUAUCUAAAGUAAUGUAAUUCUUUAAUAAGCACUUAUUUUUUUUCGAUUA
Long non-coding RNA from Lathyrus oleraceus (garden pea), 1387 nucleotides. RefSeq lists it as uncharacterized. Lineage: Eukaryota; Viridiplantae; Streptophyta; Magnoliopsida; Fabales; Fabaceae. The transcript is spliced from 2 exons. The record is from RefSeq and is a predicted model, not a curated record.